This 508-nucleotide ribosomal RNA is filed under the name Chrysolina hyperici. RNAcentral's name for it is "partial 16S ribosomal RNA". The stretch from base 383 to 508 matches the Rfam family "Bacterial large subunit ribosomal RNA", at positions 2473 to 2599 of the family's 2925-position model. The record is from RNAcentral. Lineage: Eukaryota; Metazoa; Arthropoda; Insecta; Coleoptera; Chrysomelidae.
GUCUUUUUGUAAAUAAUUUAAAGUCUAACCUGCCCACUGAAUUUUUAAAUGGCCGUGGUAUUUUGACCGUGCUAAGGUAGCAUAAUCAUUAGUUUUUUAAUUAAGAACUGGAAUGAAAGGUUGAAUAAGAAAAUAACUGUCUCUAUUAAAUUUAAUUAGAAUUUUAUUUUUAAGUUAAAAAGCUUAAUUAAUAUUAAAAGACGAGAAGACCCUAUAGAGUUUUAUUAUUUAAUAAAAAUUAUAUUUUAGUAUUUAUAUAUUUAAUUUAUUAAAUAAUUUAAUUGGGGUGAUUGAAAAAUUUAUUAAACUUUUUUUAUUUUUUAACAUUUAUUUAUGAUUAAAUGAUCCAUUAUUUUUGAUUAUAAGAUAAAAUUACCUUAGGGAUAACAGCGUAAUUUUUUUAGAGAGUUCAUAUUAAAAGAAAUGAUUGCGACCUCGAUGUUGGAUUAAAAUAAAUUUUUGGUGUAGAAGCUAAAAUAUUAGGUCUGUUCGACCUUUAAAAUUUUAC